RNAcentral lists this long non-coding RNA (7079 nucleotides) under Nicotiana benthamiana. Its description in RNAcentral is "long non-coding RNA (NBEN_LNC016713)". Lineage: Eukaryota; Viridiplantae; Streptophyta; Magnoliopsida; Solanales; Solanaceae. The record is from RNAcentral.
UCGGUCUCUCUCUUAGACCAUUUGUCUCCUCCUUCUCUCUAGAACCUUCUGGUUCUCUCUUCCUUCUCCGAUGGUCUUCAUCGCCUUUCCGGCCAACCCUAUCCUCACUUCCCUCGACCACCAGUCACAAUGGACCUCGUCUCCUUUUUCUCUCUAAGCUCUGAGGCUUCGAAGACUUCCACCAUGCAAGACGGUCUCUGGAAGCCUUUCUUGGCUUAUCUCUGGCCUUUUUCCAGUGGUUUUCAAUCAGAUAGUACUAUAAACACCAUAAUUAACGAGUUUCACAACCAGGUUCGUUACCUCAAUGAUUUAUUGCAAAACCCUAAUUUUUUCCUAAGUCUCUUAAUCUCUGUCUUUUAAAACAAUUUUCAGUUUAUUCUUUCUAUUUUACACUACUCACUACUCGAUUUCAUCAAUUAAUUCAAGUUUUUCAAUGUUUGUUCUUUUUCUAAAAAAAGCUAGGGUUUUUUAAUCCCUUUUUCAAAAUCGCUAUAUCUUCUAUUUCUUUUGAGUAUUAUGUAUGCAUGUAGUUUUGUUACGAGCCUGUUUUUUUCUGAGCUCCACGCUUUAAAAUUUUUUAGGUUUCCAAUCCUCUACUGCUUCAAUGAUUUAUUGCAUAAUGUUCUCUGAUUUUUCACGUUGUGUUCAUAGGUCUUAUUUGAACGAUUCUAUACAUCUCUUUGAAUCCCUGAUUUGUAUGUAUUUUCCUUAAGGGUUCUUACACUAAUUUUUUAAUUAUUUCCUUACUUGUGAGAUGCUCUCUAUACUUGGUACUGAUUCCCUCUGAUUUUUGUCUUGUCUGUGAUUAUUUGACUAAUUUCAGAGUUAAUUUUAUAUGUUCACCAUAUUUGUGUACUUAAAAAUAUGGUUCAAAUACUCAGCUUAUAUUUUUCUUAUUUGGAGUGUUAUGUAUUUGGCCUUUAAUAAAUACAACAGACCUAAUACUUUUACUAUGGUAAUCAGCCGCCUGAUUGAUUAUUUCCUUUAUCCGAUAUAGUUUUCGUCCCAUUCGAAUCGGGAAUCCAUAAUUUAUAUGAAUUAGGUCCUGUGAUUGAUUCAAAUUGGUACUAUUUCUAUAAUUAUGUACUUGUUACCUAUUCUCUAUUGGGUUUCGAAAACUAUAAGUACUCCUUCUGUCUUCUCACUUCAUACAAAAAUAAUUCAUUCUGAACUCUCUCUCACACAAAAAUAUUCAGUGCUCUCUUGUUUCUACACAACCUCUCUCACUUCUCUACUGGUUACUGAGCUGGUUUGAAACCCAGACUGAGCAUUAGGCUACUUUAUUUGUUUUAUUACUCUCUCUCUCUGUGUGUAUUUUCUGCUCACUUCUCUACAUUUAUGCUUGCUCGAGUUUACUAUUGUACUGACUUAACUACUACUGUUGCUCUCUCUGCAUACCCUCUGCAUUUGCUGCUCACUCCCUUGCACACUAUUGCUCACCACUUUGCAUAUUAUAACUCACUACUGCCCUGCAUUACCUUGCCUUCAACUGGUAUGUCUCCUAUUUGAUUUACAACUUCAAAGAAAUAUGUUUCUAUUUGUAUUGAACUUUCUCUUAUUUCUGGUAUGUUUCUACUUAUGGUUUUGUUGUGCUUACUGCAAUUAGCAUGCCUCUGCUUUCAUUAAUAUGCCUAUCUUAAUCUGGCAUGCCCAUUAAUCCCUUUGUCUGUCUCCUGCACUUUUCUUCUUAUCCCCUAACCCCAGUACAUUACUAGAAUGUUAUUCAGGAACCCUGAACCUCCUCUUGAUGUGUGAAUCUGUCAAUCCAAUGUUGUUAAUACCAUGACCCUUUUGAGUGAAGCAUGCUUGGUUGUUUAAGCUCUGAAGUGCUUCUCUUUGAUGUUAUAUAUGUAACUGUGUUCUCACUUGUGAGCUACUUGUCCCCAAUGCCCCUACUUGUGCUUGUCUUAUAUUGUAUCUUAUGUUGCUUUUCUCUCAAAACUGUUUCUCUAGGGACCCUCUUUCAAACUGUUUUUCAAUUCAAUCUCUUUAAAACUCUAUCACGAUCUCACUAAUCCUAGAAUUUCGGUUCUACCCCCUUAGUGUAAGCAUUGCUUUGGGUACCUUGAGUACCCACUAAACUUUGAUGCACAAGGCUUGUAAUUCCAAACUUGCACCUGUCUUGACGAUUUAUUUUUUGUUCUUGGUAUUGGCCGAGCGUCCCAAUGGACCCUUAGGGAGCUUUACCUAAUUCCACACUUGCACUGAUUCAAUGUUAAUCUAUUUGGGUGCCUGGUAUUGUCCAAGGGCCCGAAUGGGCCCUUAGGUAGCUUUGUCGUGCCCAAACCUUGGUAAAGGCUGUGAAACCCGAAAGAAGCGAGGUUGGAGACUUGGGCCUGGUUGAAGGCUCCCUGUAGAAUAACUUCUUAUCUUUUUACUACUAUAAUUUAAUUAUCUUGGUUUGUAAUAAUUUAUAACGAAUGAUUGGGGGUUUAUAGUGAAAUGGGGGAACUAUGCAUGCUUAGUUUAAGGGUACGGGUAGAAAACAUGCUUGUUGGGAUUUUCUUAUUUGUGCAAAGAUAUCCUGUCUAGGACAUGCAUCUCACAUGACUAGAAAUCCUAUUUUUAGGCUCUUUACUUUCAAUUCGUUAUUUACUUUAUAAUCACAAUCAGUUAACAACCAACAAGUCACGAAUGCUGCAUUUAGAUACCAUGUUUAGGACCUUUAUGUGCAUUAGAUAUCAUGUACGUAAGGAUUUAUUUGCAACUGUUGAAUGCCUCACUAGUUUAUUUUAACGACAUACGUCUGGCUAACAGUCUCUCUUAAAAUUGAAAAUCAAACAUGCAAUAUAUCAUGUUUAGGACCUUCAUGUGCAUUAGAUAUCAUGUACGUAAGGCUAUUUUUGCAAUUGUUGAAUGUCUCACUACUUUAUUUGUUCUAUUUCUCUCUCUGUGUGUAUUUGCUGCUCACUUCUCUACAUUGAUGCUUGCUCGAGUUUUCUAUUACUGCUCACUUCACUACUACUGCUGCUCUCUCUCUCUUCAGACCCUCUGUAUUUGUUGCUCUCUCCAUUGCAUACUAUUGCUCACCACUUUGCAUAUUAUAACUCACUACUGCCCUGCAUUACCUUGCCUUCAACUCUUUACGACUACUGUUGCUCUCUCUGCAUAUUGCUGCUCACUCCCUUGCACAUUAUUUCUCACCACUUUGCAUAUUAUAACUCACUACUGCCCUGUAUUACCUAGCCUUCAACUGGUAUGUCUCCUAUUUGAUUUACAGCGUCAAAGCAAUAUAUUUCUAUUUGUAUUGCACUUCCUCUUAUUUAUGGUAUGUUUCUACUUAUGGUUUUGUUGUGCUUACUGCAAUUAGCAUGCCUCUGUGUUGAUUAAUAUGCCUAUCUUAAUCUGGCAUGCCCAUUACUCCCUUUGUCUGUCUCCUGCAUGUUUCUCCUUAUCCUCUAACCUCAGUAUAUUAUUAGCAUGUUAUUCAGGAACCCAGAACCUCCUCUUGAUGUGUGAAUCUGUCAAUCCAAUGUUGUUAAGAUCCUGACCCCUUUGUGUGAAGCCUACUUGAUUAUUUAAGUUCGGAAGUGCUUCUCUUUGAAGUCGUAUAUGUAACUGUAUUCUCACUUGUGAGCUACUUGUCCCCGAUGUCCUCAGCCCCUGCUUUUGCUUGCCUGAUAUUGUAUCUUCUGUUGCUUUUCUCUCUAAACUGUUUCUCUAUGGACCCUGUUUUAAACUGUUUUUCAACUGAAUCUCUUUAAAACUCUAUCACAAUCUCACUACUCCUAGAAUUUAGGUUAUACCCCCUUAGUGUAAGCAUUGCUUUGGGUACCAUUAGUAUCCACUGAACUUUGAUGCACAAGGCUGGUAAUUCCACACUAGCACCGAUUCAAUAUUUAUCUAUUUGGGUGCCUGGUAUUGGACAAGGGCCCAAAUGGUCCCUUAGGGAGCUUUUCCGCACCCAAACCUUUGUAAAGGCUGUGAAACUUGAAAGAAGCGAGGUUGGAGACUUGAGCCUGGUUGAAGGUUCCCUAUCGAAUAACUUCUUUUAUUUUUAAUACUGUAAUUUAAUUAUCUUGGUUUGUAAUAAUUUGCAACGAAUGAUUGGAGGUUUAUAGUGAAAAGGGGGAACUAUGCAUGCUUAGUUUAAGGGUAAGGGUAAAAACAUUCUUGUAGGGCUUUUCUUAUUUCUGCAAUAGAUAUCCUGUCUAGGACAUGCGUCUCACAUGACUAGAAAUCGUUUUUUUAGGCUCUUUAUUUUCAGUUUGUUAUUUACUUUAAAAUCACAAGCAGUUAAUAAACAAUAAGUCACGGCUACUGCAUUUAGAUACCAUGUUUAGGACCUUUAUGUGCAUUAGAUAUCAUGUACGUAAGGAUUUAUUUGAAACUGUAGAAUGCCUCGCUAAUUUAGGUUAACGACACAAUUCUGGCUAACAGUCUCUCUUUAAAUUGAAAAUCAAACAUGCAAUCAGGCAAUAUAUAUAUAUAAUGCGUAGGCAAGGUUUAGACUAUUCAAUCAUUUUUUUAACUGUCUGAACUUGUUUCUCAUUUUCAUCUCUCUGAAGUCCGCUUGGUUUUCCUACUAAACUCUCGGCCCAUUUUUUAAUGACAUCUAUAUGUUUUUCCACUAAGUUACCUUUCCAGUCCAGAAUUGGACUACUGUUUUUUCUAAAACUAUCCGAAUACUAUGUCCUUAAUAUCGUCUGUAAUUUUUUCAAGAGUAUAUUUUUAACACUAAUACUUACUGCUCUCUCUCUUUUAUACUUCUGAAAUCCUGAAUGGUUUUGCAUCUGUGCUAUAUGUUUUACCUCUCCUGUCCAAAACUAUGCUAUUUUUAUGCUGUUAGCGGAAUGCUACAUCCGUUAUAGUUUAUUAUACAUUUUCAAGUGUGUUGCAAAGUGUUUUCCCACUGAUUCCUAAAUUAUUGUACAUUUACUGUAAUUUUCUCAAAUGCUAAAAAUUUUCAACCAAACGUUUUUCUGAAAUUCUUGUUAAGUUUUCUGCUCCUAUUGUAACCAAUCCUACGACAUUCCAACUUUUAAAGUCUCAUUUCUUUAGACCUUAAAUUUUUUUGAGGCUUGCUAAUUAUCUAUGGAGGGAUAAUUGAUUUAUUUUUAGAUUGAACAUUAGUAUCCAUUAAUACCGAAAAUAUACAAGGUAGAGCUCUAGUUGUAGCUUUGACUUGCUACUACUCCUUUACAUCACAAUCAAUCUCUACUAAGUACCUAACUACUCUUUCACUAAUUAUAAUUUAGUGUAGUAGCUAGCUAUUACAAACAAUAUCUAUGGAAAACUGUUAAUUGAACCUUUUACAUGCUCUUUGUAUGAUUCCUUUAAGUAAAGUCCUAUUUGUUUUGCAUGUCGCUUAGCAUUUAGACCUUUAAACCUAAGGUUUCAGCCUAGUUCUUACCUUAUAGUAAUAGUGGUCAUAAAUACCCUCUAGGACCUAUAGGACGGGACGGGUACUAGCACGAAAUAAUCACUCGUGACCAAUCCAUACAUUUAAAUAACCUUUACGGGGCGGGAAGCGUAGAAUAUGGAGAUGAUGACCGGUGCUCUAAUAUCUUGUGCGAUCCCUCUUUUGAGGAGUGAUUGCUGGGUAUUGCAUUGAUGUGAUCCAUAUUGUAAUUAAACCUAGGACCUCCAUUAUUUUCUUUCCUAAUGUUUUUUUUAAUUGUUUUCAUUUCUCUGCAUCAACUUCUUUUCUCAAAGACUGUCUAUUAUUCCUUGUCUUUUCAAAGUUUUAAACUUAUUUGUAACUACUAUGUGCAAACCUUACUUAUUUCCUUCUAUUCCUUUUAAAGUCAUAAUUAAGCAUGGCCAGGAACCACACUAGUGGAUCUUGAGGGGUGCAUAAAACCUUUCCCUCGAGAUAGCAAGCCCUUUCUGGUUUUCUUUCAAAAUCUUCUUCUUUUCUGUAAAAGUGACCUAGUGCACUAUUAUCAGGUGGCGACUGUUCAAACUCUAUCACCCAAUUCCUCCAAAGGGAAUAAGAGUUGUUUUGUCCAUAAUAUCAUAAACCCGAUUUAAUUCCUUUUUUAAGAAAGGGGAAAAAGGGGACGUCGACAACAAGACGACUCUGCUGGGGAUUUUUAAGGCUUUUACCAUUACGUGCUCUUUUGACUUUAUUGCUUCCUUAAUUGUUUUCAUUUCCCGCCUUUAAUUAUUUCAUCAUGCUUACUAACUUGGCUCUUCAUGUUUUCCCUUUCUUUUAAUUUCUUCCUUUACUGCUUUUUCAAUACCGUUGUAACUUUUUGAGUAUUUACUGUAAUCUUCUACUGUAUGAAAGUGAAAAUACAUGCAAUUUGCUUCAUUUUUGUAGUUGCAUCUUCAAAAUCAUAAUUCACUCGUGCCAAAACAAAUCAUAUAAUAUAAUGAGUGGUUGCGCCCUUCCAAUAUUAUAACCCCCUAAAUGUGGCAAAGGCACAUGUGCGGUAAAACCAGUCGAUCAAUGGUGUAGUCGAAGGUUUCACGCCUUUCCCUUUUGAGUUGUCCGCUCAAGGGUACCUUGUCUAGCACUUCAAAAAAAGAAACCUUACACUAUUAAAUUGUUCAUGCAUCAUGGUCAAACUUAGCCGAGUCAGUUAUGUUGCCCGCAUAAUGGCUCAUUAAGAUAGCCUAAACCAAAGUCCAUUGGGUUUCCACGAAACCCAAACGGACGCCUUUAAGUUACGUGCAUUUAUUUGGAGAACUAAAUGCCUUUAUGCUAAUUAUUCAUUUAAAUAGUCAAGUCUGGGUCUAACCCUUUGUUUUGCAGAAAAUGAGGUACGAGAUCCCCGACUUCUGUAUGGUUAGUAUACCCUUACUCUUACUGACCUAGUGGAGAAAUUUCCAAUAAAAUGACCAAAUCGAUGAAUGGAAAGAUAGGGUCACCCAGGCUAGUUAGAAUUUGGAAUACAUGUAGUACAACCUACUGGAAUUAGAAGGAAAAAUGAGUAAAAGAAUCAUCGACUGUCAAAAUGCUGAGGAAGGCGAAGGGGAAUGCAUGGUGAAGGUGUUUUUAAUAGAGAAUCUACGUGAGCUGGAGGAUUUGAUCAACGAGAACAUUCAACCUAAAGAAGGUCUUUCUAGGACCAAGUAGUUAGGACCUUUUUUAUUGCUUUCAUAAUGUAAUAAAGCCACUGGCCAUUAGUGAC